UACGUAGGGGGCAAGCGUUGUCCGGAAUCAUUGGGCGUAAAGCGCGUGUAGGCGGUUCGGUAAGUCUGCUGUGAAAGUCCAGGGCUCAACCCUGGGAUGCCGGUGGAUACUGUCGGACUAGAGUACGGAAGAGGCGAGUGGAAUUCCCGGUGUAGCGGUGAAAUGCGCAGAUAUCAGGAGGAACACCGGUGGCGAAGGCGGGUCUCUGGGCCGAUACUGACGCUGAGGAGCGAAAGCGUGGGGAGCGAACAGG
RNAcentral lists this ribosomal RNA (253 nucleotides) under uncultured bacterium. Its description in RNAcentral is "partial 16S ribosomal RNA". It matches the Rfam family "Bacterial small subunit ribosomal RNA", at positions 524 to 776 of the family's 1533-position model. The record is from RNAcentral.